CUCCGGGGAUAACAGGCUUAUUCCUCCCAAGAGUCCACAUCGACGGAGGAGUUUGGCACCUCGAUGUCGGCUCAUCACAUCCUGGGGCUGUAGCAGGUCCCAAGGGUUCGGCUGUUCGCCGAUUAAAGUGGUACGCGAGCUGGGUUCAAAACGUAGACAACACUGCGUUGCCAGGAAGUAAUUCCUGGAACAAUUUAACUGGCUCAUAUCGGUGGAGCCCUCCUGGAGUUGCAAACUGACUCCAAAGGGUAAUACCGAGGGAAGGCUGGUAACGAUGGAUCCUACAAUCCUUGCUUAUAUCGCAGGAUUCCUGGACGGUGAUGGCAGCAUCUUCUUUCAACUGAUCCGAAAGAAGGACUACUGCCUCGGAUUCCAGAUCAGGACGUCAGUCGCUUUCUAUCAGAAGACUGAGAAUGAACAGAUUCUCCUCUGGCUGAAAGCGCAGUUCUUAUCCGGGUACAUCCGACGCCGGAAGACAGGCAUCAGUGAUUACACGAUUGUAGAGCCUCAGGAAGUCCGCAGGAUUUUGGAGCUGGUGCAACCUUACGUGCGACUCAAGCAGGAGCACGUGAGACUCGGCCUCGAAAUUCUCGACAAGCUUCCCUUGGCUGGCGAUGCAACACGAUUGAUGGCGUUGUGUCAGCUGGUCGAUCGGUUUCGGGAUCUCAACUACUCAAAGAAGAGAACGGUCACUUCUGAGAGUGUUGAAGCACACCUGAAAUCACAUGGUUACCUUGCCCCUGUAGAGACUGAUCCAAUCAGGAGAGAGUCGCUGGGAUGAACAGCGGCUAAGACGCCAGUCCCCUCGGUUUAGUACGAGAGGACCGGGAUGGACGCACCUCUGGUGUUCCGGUUGUCACGCCAGUGGCACUGCCGGGUAGCUAUGUGCGGACGGGAUAACCGCUGAAAGCAUCUAAGCGGGAAGCCCCCCCCAAGAUUAGAUCUCCCUGGGAGCUCGACUCCCCUGAAGGGCCCACGAAGACUACGUGGUUGAUAGGCUGGGUGUGUACGGCCAGUAAUGGCUUCAGCUAACCAGUACUAAUUGCCCGUGAGGCUUGACCAUAUAACCUCAAGUGGUUUGG
Molecule: ribosomal RNA, 1082 nt
Filed under: Gammaproteobacteria bacterium
Lineage: Bacteria; Pseudomonadati; Pseudomonadota; Gammaproteobacteria
Description: partial 23S ribosomal RNA
Rfam family: Bacterial large subunit ribosomal RNA
Source: RNAcentral